This 663-nucleotide ribosomal RNA is filed under the name bacterium SL1.17. Its description in RNAcentral is "bacterial SSU rRNA". It matches the Rfam family "Bacterial small subunit ribosomal RNA", at positions 56 to 690 of the family's 1533-position model. The record is from RNAcentral.
UGCAGUCGAGCGAGUGAAUAAAACAGAUCCUUCGGGUGACGUUUUAUGGAUCUAGCGGCGGACGGGUGAGUAACACGUGGGCAACCUGCCUGUAAGACUGGGAUAACUCCGGGAAACCGGGGCUAAUACCGGAUAACUUCUGAUCUCACAUGAGAUCAGGAUAAAAGAUGGUUUCGGCUAUCACUUACAGAUGGGCCCGCGGCGCAUUAGCUAGUUGGUGAGGUAACGGCUCACCAAGGCAACGAUGCGUAGCCGACCUGAGAGGGUGAUCGGCCACACUGGGACUGAGACACGGCCCAGACUCCUACGGGAGGCAGCAGUAGGGAAUCUUCCGCAAUGGACGAAAGUCUGACGGAGCAACGCCGCGUGAGUGAUGAAGGUUUUCGGAUCGUAAAGCUCUGUUGUUAGGGAAGAACAAGUGCUAGAGUAACUGCUAGCACCUUGACGGUACCUAACCAGAAAGCCACGGCUAACUACGUGCCAGCAGCCGCGGUAAUACGUAGGUGGCAAGCGUUGUCCGGAAUUAUUGGGCGUAAAGCGCGCGCAGGCGGUUUCUUAAGUCUGAUGUGAAAGCCCACGGCUCAACCGUGGAGGGUCAUUGGAAACUGGGGAACUUGAGUGCAGAAGAGGAGAGCGGAAUUCCACGUGUAGCGGUGAAAUGCG